GGUGAUUUGAGCUCUGUUGCUGUUGCGGGAAAGUCCAUUGAGGAUUGGAUGAUUUAGAGCCAUUUGAAGGCGGUGGUGGUGUUUCUACUGCAAAAAAAGGCUCAUGGCAAUUGGGGCAAAGCAGAUUGUGGUUAAGAUAAAUUCUGAGGUACUCGUAUUGCAUUUUGCACCGAUGGCAGACUGUCCAAAAGGUAUUGGGUUUUGGCUUAUGAGCUGAAGCAGGGGCAGAAGAGGGACCCAUCCGAGUGGUAUUCUUAUGAGCUUUUGUAUUUGUAGUCCUACUUUUAGUGAAACUGUAAAAACCAUUAGCAGCAGCGGAUGACGAUGGACCUCCACUUGGAGGCUGAACUUUCUGCUGACCUGCUUUCACAUUCCUCUUCUGAUCGUAUGCUAUUCUCUUAGUCUUAUCAGACAACAAACUCCAUGCUUCUGAAAUAAGUUUAAAUGCCCCAUCUGCCCCUAUAGAUUUGUUCUUGUCAGGAUGAAGCAUCAGGGCCAACUUCCUAUAUUGCUUCCUCACCGUGUCAUCGUCUGCUUGUGGAUUCACACCAAGUAUCCCAUACCAAUCCGCUUCACCAUUUAUUUUGUUUUCUGCAGAAAUAUGCACAUCAAGUGUUGCUAACAUUUGGGGAAGACCAUCAAGACCAGGAAACAAAUUUUGAGCCUUCAAAGCUAAUUUCUUUGCUCCAGCAAUGUCCCGUGCUAUAAACUUCUUCUCCGCGAUUUCUUUUGCUCUGGUAGCCUCGUCUUUAUUACACUCCAUUUCCCUAAUCAACUGCUUCUUUGUGUAAUAUCACAACACAGCUACCAGUACAAUAAAAAAAAAUCAGCCAAUCCCCACUAUCUGAUACCACCAAUUCCAACUUUUCUCAUAAAUCCAAAGAGGGUCCACCUUUAAUAGUCCAAACCCUAAUUCAAGAACAUUCAACAAUAGACCCAAUGAGAAUGCUACUUUAGAAGAAGCAUGAAAACAACAAGACAAUCAUCAGAACGAUUUAAAAACAGCAAAACUUAUUUCAGUUCAUCAUUCCAUCAUAGAAUUACAUGAUAACCCAAAAAAAAAAAAGGCAAUUGGAUUCCAAAUAAACCAAAUUAAGCUUUCAAAGUUCAAUAACGCAAUACAAAAAUUCCAAUACCCCUAGAUUCCAUUUAACAAUAAAACCCUUUUCUGCAACACCUCCAAAAUAGCCGCUCACCCAACUUAUCAGAAACACAAAAACAUCAAAAACCAAAGCCAAGAAAAAAAAAAAAAUUUCAGGCAAUUGAGUUCCAAAUAAAUCAAAUUGAGUUUCCAAAUUUCCACAAUGCAAUACAAAACUUCCACUACAACACACCCAAAUUCCAUUCACAACAAAACUCCAUUUCGAUACACACCGAAAACAGCCAUUGAACCACCAUAUCACACAAAAAGCAUCAAACACCCCAUCAACCACAAAAUUCAGAAAACCGCAAACACCCAAUAUUUGAAUCAUAGAGAGAAAUCAGAAUCAAACAAAGGAAUCAUCCAUGGAUCUACAUCACCCAAGGUGGGAAUCAUCUUAAAGGACCAGAAUUCACCAAUUAAAGCAACUAAUUUUGAUGAACAAAAGGAAACCCUAGAAACAGUCAUGUGUCUAGAACACAGAGAGUGGAGAGAAUGAGAAAAAUAUUUACCCAUUUGAUGAAUUUGAAUCGCAGAGCCACCAUGGACAGACCUCCAUCACCAAAAAAUUUUCUUUUUUUGCCCCUCUUUUCCCACCCAAAUCCAAAAAAUCCCCAAAACUGGACCUUUUGUCAAACCCCUCUCAAUAUCUGGACAGACUUCACAAAUAAAAAAUCACAAGCGAUAAAUAAAUACAAAAUAAUUUAUACAAAUAAAUAAAUAAAAAUAUAAAGGCAGUAUGGGCUACCCUUGGGUUCAAAGUAUAUGUUUUUGUUAACCCCAACCCAACCUUUUUCAUCUCAUUGGUUGGAAUCCUAACCAUGGUUAAUUUUUAACUCUUGAGUUGGGUUUGCAAGUUUUCUAUUUUUAGCAUUUUUAUUAGAGUGGAGGAUUCUUUUUUCUAGAGUUGAAAUAAAAUUUUAUAGCAAAAAUUAUUUUUUGGAAAUCAUUAAAUAAGUAUAGAAAAAUAUUUUUAUAAGAAUACAAGGUAUGGUAUACCAAAGAAUGAUCCAAUUAUUCAUUUAUUUAAUUUUUAAUUUUUAAUUUUUAAUUAUUUCUUAUUAUUUUUCCUAUAAUGUAAAUAUUUAUAAUAAAAAAACUCAUAUAUGUAACUCUUUUUUUAAUUGAUGAUAAGAAUAAAAAGUCUUAGCCUACAUCUUAAACUUAAUGCUAGUUUUGAUAUUACAAAAGUUUCAUUAAAUAUAAAAUAAUAUCUAACAUAAAUUAAAAAAAUGUACUUAUAAAAAAAUAUUCAAUAAACAUUAUCAACAUAUGAAAUAUUGGUAUAAAUGUAAAUUUUUAUUUAAAAAAUGGUUUUAUAUUUCUUAUUAAGUGACAAAUUUCCAAAAACCAUCAUCAAAAUAUCACUAAACUAACUAAACUAUACUUCAAUGGUGUUGUCAAAAUAAAAAAAAUUAAAGACAUGCAACUUGAACAUGAGAGGCUAAAAGCCAAAAGAGUGUAACAUGUAUCUAAUGCCACCCAACAAACCCAUCCUCUAGAGUAAUUGUACAUAAGGUUACUUUGGUCAUUUCGCUUGCAACAAAGUUGACAAGAGACGUGCCUUCCUCUUCUAAACUAGGUGAAAUCCAAACGAAGCUUUUGGACCACAUGAAGUAGUUUUGAUAACAAGGCAAUUGAGGAAUGGAGGUCAUUAAACAAGUGUCAAUCUCACCAAGUCAUUAAACUCCACAAACAUAAGAAUUAUAUAUAUAAAGAUGGAAUAACCAUUCAAUAUGUCAAAGAAAUUUGACUAUCAUUGAAGCUUGGGACGUGAUUAGAAGGUUGAAAAAUGUGUUAAAGCAAUGUAACACGUCAAAUUAUUGAGGAGGAAGUAGAUGGAUCAAUAAUAACUUGUUUUAGUAGUAUGUGAUAUGAUAACAAAUUGGUCUAAAUUGACUCAAAGUAUGGAUAUACCUAGUUGGAAAAGGUAAUCCAAACCUAUUAUUAUGAUUCAUUUCCCAUACUUAGAUGUUGUACAAAUUUUUAUAGUAUAAUUGAUCUCUAACAGUAGAUUGUGAUAUGCUUGUAUAAAUCAUCGUGUUAUAAUAGAGCCCUUAAAAAUGUGACAUAGUGUAAUAAAUUUGAAAUUCAUUAUUUAAUGAUAUUCUACUUUCACUUUUAUCUAUCUUUGUUCUAUGCAUUGCACUUUAUGGACAUUUUCACCUACAUUGUAUGUGAUUUAUGUGCAUUAGAAGUUGAAUGCAAGAUUUAAAUCACAAGUUCCUUACAAAUAGAUGACUUGUUUACAAUCGGUUCAUGAUUUUAGAUAACUCAUUAGAGGUUUGUAUUGCACUACCUUCUAAUACAAGGAAUGACUGGUCUUAACUAUCAAGAUGAGUUUUCCAUAGCGAUUGCAUUAGUGUGUAUGGUUACACAUUAGACAAGACUUACAGUAAGUCAUAACUUAAAGUCAACAAGUAGUCAUGACCUCACUAAGUUGUUUCAUUGUGUUGUCUCUCAACCUUGAAAGAAUAUUGAGUUUGUGCUAAAACUAACGAUAGUUUUGACCCAUUGGUAAGAUUGUAAACUGAUUAUGUAUUCCCUACUUAUGAAUUAGGUCACUAUUGAUGGAAACCAGUAACAAUAAAUAUUUUCAGCAGAUGCACCAUGAUAUCUUAUGGGAUUGAGGCAGAAUGUCUCAUUGGGUGAUUCUAAGAAAGUGUGUUCAUAAAAACUAUGGUCAUGGUAGUUCUUUAAGUUUAACUUGACAUUAAUUCUUAAAGAGUUAAGACUUAUCAAUUGAAUACGUAACAAGAAGAUUUGUAACUCAAAGAUAAUAGAGAUAGUCUUGAAAGGUUGAUAGCUUUCACUUUGUUAAACUACAAACAUCAGUUCAUGUAAGACUUACCAAUUGUAACAUGUAAUGCAUGCCAUCAUAAUGUACAUCUACAUCAUUGAUCAUGGUACAUAUAUGAGAAGUAUUGUCAUAUUCAAAUAAAACAAACUCUUAACAAGUGUAGUAAAGUAUCCUUCUUAUGUCCUAUUUAGCGAUUUGGAUAAUCUUGAAUGACCAAUCUGUGGAGGCCUUAUCCCACGAGUACUUCCAUGCGUCUGUCCACGUGGCAUCGUCCCAAUUAGGCCACAUGUCACUUCUUUCAUCACUGCUCGAACAACCUUCAAGGCAUUCGGAGACAUCCUGUCUGGACCAUUUGCGCCAUUGAGCGGCCCUCAUCUCCCUGAUAGCCUUAAAUCUUCUUUGAUAUGCGAGAUCAUGGCCAAUUGACAUCCAGAUGACUAAUGGGAUUCUCCCCAUCCUCACAUCUACAUCAGCGACUCCAGUCCCAGACCUUCAACAAGAUUGAAAGGACGACAAGUUGUAUCAUGACGCGUCGUCUGACACAACCCCCAGCCGUCCUACAGAUGUGAUGAUUACGUUGUCACUAUUGCGCAAUCACACUAUAAGGGCCAACUCAGCACUAUUGAGUCUUCCUCCACCUUUGAACACUAUAAAAACCCUACUGAAAUAGAACAUGGGCAGGACUCUGGGAGCUCUCUCAUUCUCUCUCUCUCUCUCUCUCUCUCUCUCUCUCUCUCUCUCUUAGGGUUUCUAUUCAUUCCCAAAGUCUGACAUGAGCUUCAGAGGUUGUGUCCGAACAUCUUUGUGUAGGGAAGCAGAAAGCCCAGAUUCUGGCACCGGAAUGGGAACUUUCACUGCCACAUCCAAGGGAGGAAUCCAUCCUCAGUUGACCUAGUAUCAACACAAUCCACCUACUUUAAAAAUAAUAGACAAAAAGUAAAACAAAACUCUAAAACAUGAGAUGAAGUAAUGGAAAGGAAUUAAAUAUUUCUAGAUAUAACAAAGGCAAUAAUCCCACGAAACUUAUAAAAAUCCUUAAUAUCUCUAUAUAUAAAUUGACACUCAAUCAAUAAACCAUCAUCCAAAAUUACAUUGAAUACAAUGAGAUUGAUUUCUUUGCUAUGAGAUUUGUCAUAAGCUUUGAGUAUUAUAUAACACAAUAAUCUAAAUCAUGAGAGCAACCUUUGACUUGUGUCUUUUAAAAGCAAGUGAAGACCAUGUUCCAAGUUUCUAAUUGAAACCCAAAUGACCUUUUUUGGUAGAGGAAGAAAAAUAUAGAACUAAAUAUUGUGAGGUUUACAAGCUCAAGUGAAAAUUCCUCUUGCAUCCUCUACACAGUCUUAAAACGUUCUUAACAAAAUUAGCUAUUUGUAUCCUUUCACUAUCGAUCUAUUACCAACAUGAACAAUAUAAUCAAUUUGCCUAUUUAUUUCCCUACAAAUAUGCCUAUAAAUAACAUUGAACUAGCUAUGAUCAACCAAAUAUUCUUGAUUAGCAUAACAAUAUUACACCUAUUGGUUAUAUUCAAUUAUGGAAAUGUCAUAAUACGUAUGGAAAUCUGAACAAAAAAAAUUGAUAGACAAACUCAUAAAUAUAUUAAGAAAAAUUAAAAAAAUAAUAAUAUUAUAAACUUCAAUAAUUUACUCAUUGAAGAAAACUAUAAAUUUAUGCAAGUAAUAAUAUAAAAAAUAAAAAAACACAUUUAUUAAGUACAAUGACCUAUUAACUUUGGAUGAAGUUAAGGUUAUAAAAGAAAUGAUAAUGCUUGUAUAAUUGUUUUUCAAAUUUAAAUUUUUUUAUAAUUUAUUUAUAAAUAUAUUUUUUAGAAUAUUAAUGACUAUACAAAAUGUAAAAAAUACUUCUUAAAAAGAUUAUUAUGAUAGUUUUUACAUUUUCAAUAAUAAUUAAUUGAAAAUAAUUAAUUUAUUAAAAUUUAUUUUAAUAUUUUAAUUUUUGUAGGGAGAUGGAAAAAUAUUUUAUGAAUACGGUUUAUAAAUUUAUAAUAUAUAUAUAUAGUUUUUCCUAUCCUUAUCUUUUUUUAUAAAAUAAUAAUUUUUAUUUUAUGUCCUUAUGUAUAUAUUGUGAUAAUUGAUUUAAAGUUACAUAUUUAUUAACAUAAUUAGAUAUUUAUAUAUUUUUAAAUAUAAUAUAUUAGAAAAUAUUUUUAUUAAUUGUGUAAUAAAUACAUAACUAUAAUUGAAGACAACAAUUAAUAAUACAUUUUUUGACAAAUUUAAAAAUGAUAAUUUCAUAUUUGAAAUUAUGAACAAUCAAUGAUAAUGAGAUGGGACAUCUAAAGAAUUUAAAGGAUUUGAAUCACAAGGUGAUAAGAUAAGAUGCAAUUAGCUUUAUAUACUUAAUUAACUACGAGUAAAUUACAAAUGAUUUAUUUGAUAGUCCAACAAAUUGCAAUACAUAUGAUAUUUUAAAAGAUAAUUUUAAUUGAUUAAUAUACUAGUUACAUAGAAUGUUAUGUUGAUAGAAGCUUUAAUACAAACAAAGUUAGUUCAAGAACAUAAAAGAUAAAACAAUCAAUACAACAAUACAUGAUGUUUUAACGUGGUUUAAUCGAUUAUACUUACAUUCCCGAAUGAAAGAGAAUUAUUUCAUUGUACUAUAGAGAAUAUUACAAAUGAUAAAACCGAAUAUAAUUAUUAGGUUCUCGAAACAUCUCAUUUUCACUACUCUAUUUAUCCAUGUCCUGAACCAUAAACUUUCUCACUUCAUUAGGUGUCUACUGUUUUUUCUCACAUUUCUAUACACACUAAUUAGACUGUCAUAUAGUAAUUAUAGGGUUAAUUUUUAAAAUAAAUGAUUUUGAUCAUUGAGGAUUGGAUGAUUUAGAGCCAUUUGAAGGUGGUGGUGGUGUUUCUACUGCAAAAAAAGGCUCAUGGCAAUUGGGGCAAAGCAGAUUGUGGUUGAGAUAAAUUCUGAGGUACUCGUAUUGCAUUUUGCACCGAUGGCAGACUGUCCCAAAGGUAUUGGGUUUUAGCUUAUGAGCUGAAGCAGGGGCAGAAGAGGGACCCAUCUGAGUGGCAUUCUUAUGAGCUUUUGUGUUUGUAGUCCUACUUUUAGUGAAACUGUAAAAACCAUUAGCAGCAGCGGAUGACGAUGGACCUCCACUU
This 7066-nucleotide long non-coding RNA is filed under the name Vitis vinifera (wine grape). RNAcentral's name for it is "long non-coding RNA (VVIN_LNC000290)". The record is from RNAcentral. Lineage: Eukaryota; Viridiplantae; Streptophyta; Magnoliopsida; Vitales; Vitaceae.